This 2155-nucleotide long non-coding RNA is filed under the name Xyrichtys novacula (pearly razorfish). The record is from RNAcentral. Lineage: Eukaryota; Metazoa; Chordata; Actinopteri; Labriformes; Labridae.
AUCUACUUAACCUGAAACUCCUUUUACCGACCCGACCCUGAACACCUCAGUGUAUUAAGUUGGUUUGUUAGCUUACUAGCUUGUGUCCUGCCGAUGUAAACAUAGAUUUCAACACAGAAUUUAACACUGGAUCAUGAUUUUUAACUAACAGGACUUGCUCUAAAGUCUGGCUGUUCUUACCCAGGCUGCUUUGGGCGAAGAGGAGGACGGCAUCAUCCAAAGUUGGUGGAGUUGUUUCAAGCUGCAGACAGUCAAAGGUCCUCUAGGUACUCUAUCUUGGUUUGAUUCACAAUGAUGUGUUUGAUGAUGGGGGUUGCAAGAAAAUAGUUUGAAUUAUUUACAGCAUUUUGCCUUAUUUUCUUUGAGGAGUCCAGGUACAGAUCUAAUUUUAUUAUAUUAGUGGCCAAAAGAGAGGCAUCACUGACUAUAACAAAUGGAAAUACAGCCAAUUCAGCAGGGAAAUAUUUGAUCCUUUCACAUCUAUUUAUUGACGUGUCAGAGCAGUUUAUAUUAACUGAGAUUAAAUAUUUUGACAUGAACUUGUACUAAUACACUGUACAAAAAUAUAUUUUUAUUGAGGUGGUCUUGUGCUUUUCCACAUUUACAACAAAACCUGCAAAGUUGCAAUAUAUGGUGUCCAUAAGAGAUGAAUGCAAAGUUUCACAUCACAAUGUAAACAUAUGUUGUCAUAAUCUAAGAAAAUAGAUGUUAACUGCUCAAAACGGGACCUUGUGAAAAACUUUUUAAAGCCCACUUCCUCCAUGUAAAAAGAUGGGAAAUGGGUCAAACUUCAAGAUAAAAAAAAUGUCAAGUAAAUGUUUCUCAAACACGCAGUCUCUCAUCAGUUUGCUCUUAUCAUGCUGAUGUAUGUCCAUGGUUCAUUUCUAAGACAAGUUAAAGUGAGAGUGAAAGUGAGAAUCCUGCAGUGCUGUUUGCACCGGAUUAAGGAAAGGAUCCUCUUUCACUGAGGCCUCCUUUUUUGCUUUGCCAUGUUUCUACAGUAGCACAGAAGGAACAAACUAGUAACAAAUAUGUUCUUGCAAUUAUGAGUGGCUGUCUGAAAUGCACCUGUUGGGAGGUGAAGUUAUUAAAAAAAAAUUAUUUAGGACCUGUUAUUUUUAAUUCAGUUCAUUAAGCCCUUUGUUUUUUGUGUUUGCUGCUGCUGUACUUAAGUCAGGUUUAACCUGGUUUUGUACAUUUCUAUAAGAGUAAUAAAAACCACCUCUAAACAGCAUUAUCAUCUAAUUUAAUUCAAAAACAUUCUAAAUCAGCCUUCAGAAAGAAAGAUUUAGAUCCACAUCGUCUGUUUAUUGCAGGACCAUGUUGCUAGGUACAAGUUACAUUUUUGGCCGUCACCAAGGUGAAAAGUUUUAAGAAUAUUUGAGAUAUUUUUCUUCUCCCUGUGCAGGUCUGCAUUUGGUCCAAAUUUGUACAUAGUUUUAUUUUAGUUUAAUUUUUCUUCUCCCUUUUUCCUUUUCCUAAUUUUUUUCCUAAUUAUUACAUUUAUUUAAGUUCUUAAUAUUACGAUCGUUAUUUUUAUAACUGCAUUUUUGCACUCUUUGUCUGUGAUGCUGCUGUGACAAAAAAAUUUCCCCCAUGGGGGAUCGAUAAAGGAAUAUUCUAUUCUAUUCUAUUCUAUUCUAACUUGAAGAAAUGUAAUACUUGUUCAUUACCUUGUUAUUCACGCGCUUUCCUCACCGUCUGUUUACUGAGCUCACGUCGGCAGAGUGGGAAAACACAAGGGGGGGAAGUGAUGGGGGAGGGAGAUGGAGGUGACAUCUUGUUGAUUAAAUAAAAAAAAGAAAACUGCGCUGAGACACAGAGCGGAGAUCCGCCUGGAUUCAAUCUGCAGCACAGUUUUUCAGCUCUUUAGAAUCUCUAACACUCGUGAUGGUUUUCCAGCAGCGACUGGAGAACGUUUGAAAUGUAAAGAGUGAAAUUCCAUCGUGGCUCAACACGGCUGACGGAUGUCAAACUGGCUUGCAUACUGCGGAGAAUAGCAGACACCAACACAGGAGCAGUUUUCAUGUGACAGUUUGGAUACAAAAAACAUCCUCUGCACCAACAAACAGCACACCUGUACUUGUACCUUACCUGGGGAUGUAAAGAAAAAUGGAUCCCUACAGAGCCACCACCCAGCAUACAUAAAGUGGAC